RNAcentral lists this ribosomal RNA (420 nucleotides) under uncultured bacterium. RNAcentral describes it as "bacterial SSU rRNA". It matches the Rfam family "Bacterial small subunit ribosomal RNA", at positions 340 to 752 of the family's 1533-position model. The record is from RNAcentral.
UACGGGAGGCAGCAGUGGGGAAUAUUGCACAAUGGGCGCAAGCCUGAUGCAGCCAUGCCGCGUGUAUGAAGAAGGCCUUCGGGUUGUAAAGUACUUUCAGCGGGGAGGAAGGCGAUGCGGUUAAUAACCGCGUCGAUUGACGUUACCCGCAGAAGAAGCACCGGCUAACUCCGUGCCAGCAGCCGCGGUAAUACGGAGGGUGCAAGCGUUAAUCGGAAUUACUGGGCGUAAAGCGCACGCAGGCGGUCUGUUAAGUCAGAUGUGAAAUCCCCGGGCUUAACCUGGGAACUGCAUUUUGAAACUGGCAGGCUUGAGUCUUGUAGAGGGGGUAGAAUUCCAGGUGUAGCGGUGAAAUGCGUAGAGAUCUGGAGGAAUACCGGUGGCGAAGGCGGCCCCUGGGACAAAGACUGACGCUCAGGU